Long non-coding RNA from Drosophila pseudoobscura, 1714 nucleotides. RefSeq lists it as uncharacterized. The record is from RefSeq and is a predicted model, not a curated record. Lineage: Eukaryota; Metazoa; Arthropoda; Insecta; Diptera; Drosophilidae. The transcript has 3 exons.
CCAUACCGAUUCAUAGCGAUGCCAUGCCCGUGCGGUCUGUGUGUUUGUUUUGUCAAUGUUUUUUGUCGUGAUGGUCAAUUGAUAUGUAUGCCGACUGGCGGACCGAAUCGCAAUAUAGUGGGGUAGUGGCGGGCACACUCAGUUCUGGGAAGGAUGUCGCCCGUCGUGGAAUCAAUCUCGACCAAUGCCAGAGUGCAGUCGCAGCUGGCGAAAUGCGCAUCGAUUCGAGUACUCAUAGCAGUCAUAGCACUCGGAGCAACCGAUUUGGCAGAGAGUGGAAUACAUUUUUUACUUCGACGCCCACACAGGGACCAGACAGAGAGAGAAAGAGCGAGACAAAGGCCAGUCACACGACUAGAAAGAAGCACUUUCCGGUGCUAACCAGACGAUGAUGUGGGGCGGUGGGAGCGAUUUGCAUUCUAGUGGCGACUUUUUGGCAAAUGCGCUGACAGCUCGGCCCAGUCCAGACCCCUGUCCUGCCGCUCUGCUCUGAUUCUUCAGUCAGCGAUGGCUAUAUACAAUAUACAUACAUACAUAUAUGUACAUAUGCACCUCUCGAUAUGUGCUAAGUUUUAUGGGUGAAUAUAUCGCUGGCAUCGUACGAGUACGGGUAUUUUAAGUGCAAUUAAGAGGCAGAAAGGGAUCGGAUCGGAUCGGAUCUGACUUGCUAGCCAGACGCAGGAGAUUAAUCGAGAGACACUCGGAAUUGAUAGUGCCAUAUACUCGUAGUAGUGCCUCUAGACUAAACACAUCCAAUCUAAUUGCAUGUAUUUCAGUGUCGUGUGUGUUGGGGUGUGCCUCCUCCUCCUCCGCCUCCGCCCCCGCCUCAUCCUACUCCUACCCGAAGAGAUUUGCUUGAAUAAUUCGCCAGUCAGGUUGAGUCAAGUUGUUGGCAUAUCAGCGCUGACACUUUGAACACUCGUUUCGUCAUGUCGGCAUGUCACAAAGUCUUCUAUCUGUGCAAAAGCAGACCAUAUAACUUGAUCACAGCAAGAAGAGAUCCGGAACGAAGCCAACGUACUUCCAAUAGAUAUUGGCCCUCAGGAAAGGGCAGAAUUUGCGUAAAUCGGUGAUUGAUAAAAUCAACAGGAAGCUUCUCCAAAACGAGGUCAUGCUGCAAAAAAAUAAGGGACAUGAGUGGUUCACACUGGAGUAACUCAUAAAUGAUUCAUAGAAAAAUUUCACAACAGGACUGGAUUUGGGAUUGGCAAUAAAUUUGCAUGCAUUGAAGGUCAUAUUGUAAAGAAAGGGCUUGUAUCCAUUCAAUCGCUUUGAUAAUACCAUGUUAAUCUGUAAUAAUGAAGUGAAUGAUAAUUAAAAGAGCAUUUUGAUGGUUAUCUUGACAUAUCUACACACUUCCAUGGCUCUAAUGGGAAGUUGAUAAACCUUAAAUUUUCCCGAAAAGUAUUUAUAAGUCCGGUUUACAGAUUUCAGAAAGCAAUAGUCGAACUUCCCGAACUUCGGAUCCAACGCAGUGCAGUUGACAUUUGUAAACUCAAACCGGGAAUGGAUCUGGAAGUUGAUUUAAUAAUUAUAUGUGAAUUGUAUUGUGUUUACACGCUGUGCAAUCCUUACUUCUAUAAAAAAAUGUAGGAUCACAACGAUCAGAAUCAGGGAGCUUAUCUUAUGGGCCAUCCUGUAUUUUCGACGAUGCAAAGAACACUGUUUGCUCCAUAGAAAUUUUGUAUUAACUCUUAAUAAAUCACUUAGUAUG